RNAcentral lists this ribosomal RNA (253 nucleotides) under uncultured bacterium. Its description in RNAcentral is "partial 16S ribosomal RNA". It matches the Rfam family "Bacterial small subunit ribosomal RNA", at positions 524 to 776 of the family's 1533-position model. The record is from RNAcentral.
GACAGAGGUGCCGAGCGUUAGGCGGAAUCACUGGGCUUAAAGCGUGUGUAGGCGGCCCGUUAAGUGCCUCGUGAAAUCCCCCGGCUCAACCGGGGAACUGCCGGGCAUACUGGCGGGCUUGGGUCGCUCAGGGGCAGACGGAACAGGCGGUGGAGCGGUGAAAUGCGUAGAUAUCUGGAGGAACACCGGUGGCGAAGGCGGCAUCCUGGACCGACACUGACGCUGAGGAGCGAAAGCCAGGGGAGCAAACGGG